UGGAACCUUGAGUCCUGAAGGGCCGUCGAAGACUACGACGUUGAUAGGUUGGGUGUGUAAGCGCUGUGAGGCGUUGAGCUAACCAAUACUAAUUGCCCGUGAGGCUUGACCAU
RNAcentral lists this ribosomal RNA (113 nucleotides) under Pseudomonas morbosilactucae. RNAcentral's name for it is "partial 23S ribosomal RNA". It matches the Rfam family "Bacterial large subunit ribosomal RNA", at positions 2815 to 2925 of the family's 2925-position model. The record is from RNAcentral. Lineage: Bacteria; Pseudomonadati; Pseudomonadota; Gammaproteobacteria; Pseudomonadales; Pseudomonadaceae.